RNAcentral lists this unclassified non-coding RNA (471 nucleotides) under Hevea brasiliensis (rubber tree). Lineage: Eukaryota; Viridiplantae; Streptophyta; Magnoliopsida; Malpighiales; Euphorbiaceae. The record is from RNAcentral.
AGUUACUUUACUAGUUACUAAUGGUUUGAAGCCACCCUAAACUACUUCCCAAAAAGCAUAUAUGAACAGUUUCAAAUAAACUAUUCACUGGAUUAUCCAUAAAAUACAACAUAUUGGGCACAAAUAUGAUCUCAACUGUAACUCACAAUUUUGCAAUCAAAUGCAUGUAAACCUACUUUUGGGAUCAUAAAAUAGCUACGACAAAAUUCAACAUUAUCCAGCAUAUUAAAGAAACCUGUGCUAUCCAGUGAAAUUUAUGAACUCUGAUUCUUUAACAACAUAAGCUGUUUAAUUUCCUAGCAUAAAUGGCCCUCCUCAACUUCAAUUUAGAAUCCACACAUAUUCUUUCUAAUAUGUCACUCAUCAACUCCAAAUGCAGAAUGCUUCUUCUCAAGAAUGCUUCUAGGAGUUUCUAGAUUCUUUCAAAUCUUGUCCUUAAUCAGUUUUUCUUAUCUUCUGUGUUUUUCUCCA